GUGCUUGCUUUGGCAGCACAUACACUAAAAUUGGAACAAUACAGAGAAGAGUAGCAUGGCCCCUGCGCAAGGAUAAAGUGUUCCAUGUUCCAAGUUCUGCUGCGUUGU
Molecule: small nuclear RNA, 108 nt
Organism: Rana temporaria (common frog)
Lineage: Eukaryota; Metazoa; Chordata; Amphibia; Anura; Ranidae
Source: RefSeq, a predicted model, not a curated record